CAUGUCCUUAGGAUGAGAAUUUAAGGUCUAACCUGCCCAGUGAUUAUUUAAAUGGCCGCGGUAUCUUGACCGUGCAAAGGUAGCAUAAUAAUUAGUUUUUUAAUUGGAAACUGGAAUGAAUGGUUGAACGAGAUAAUUUCUGUCUCUUUUUUAUUAUAUAUUAGAAGUUAAUUUUUAAGUUAAAAAGCUUAAAUAAUUUAAUGGGACGAGAAGACCCUAUAGAGUUUAAUAUUUUUUUAUUAGCGUGAGAUUUUAGAAUUUAUUAUUAUGUUUAUUUAAAAUAUUUUGUUGGGGUGACAAGAAGAUUUAAAAAACUCUUUUUAAUUUUUUAUACUGAUAAGUAGAUUUAUGAUCCAUUGUUUAUGAUUAUAAGAUUAAAUUACCUUAGGGAUAACAGCGUUAUUUUUUUAGAGAGUUCAAAUCGAUAAAAGAAAUUGCGACCUCGAUGUUGGAUUAAAGUUAAUUUUAGGAGCAAAAGCUUAAAUAUUAGGUCUGUUCGACCUUUUAAACUUUACAUGAUCUGAGU
Molecule: ribosomal RNA, 526 nt
Filed under: Sostea sp. UPOL RK0689
Lineage: Eukaryota; Metazoa; Arthropoda; Insecta; Coleoptera; Dryopidae
Description: partial 16S ribosomal RNA
Rfam family: Archaeal large subunit ribosomal RNA
Source: RNAcentral